UCUGGGUCCAUAUAUGCUUUACACUGUACAUUUAUACUUCUUGGAAGAAAGAGAGCACUCAUAUAUAUGGUCACAAUGAGAAACAUAUAUCAAUACUUUAUAUUUAUAAAAUAGAAAAAAAUCAGGAUGUACAUAUUUAUUUAUACCUGGUGUCAUGCAAAAGACUUUGACAAUAUCCUUAAACAUACAACUGACAUGCGAUACAUCAAGACCAAUGUCAGGUAUUUACCCAAGAAAAAUGAACAUUUAAAUUUACACAAAACAUAUGAAAACAAUUAUAAAACAACCCCAUCAAAAAGUGGGCAAAGGACAUGAACAGACACUUCUCAAAAGAAGACAUUUAUGCAGCCAAAAAACACAUGAAAAAAUGCUCAUCAUCACUGGCCAUCAGAGAAAUGCAAAUCAAAACCACAAUGAGAUACCAUCUCACACCAGUUGGAAUGGCAAUCAUUAAAAAGUCAGGAAACAACAGGUGCUGGAAAGGAUGUGGAGAAAUAGGAACACUUUUACACUGUUGGUGGGACUGUAAACUAGUUCAACCAUUGUGGAAGUCAGUGUGGCGAUUCCUCAGGGAUCUAGAACUGGAAAUACCAUUUGACCCAGCCAUCCCAUUACUGGGUAUAUACCCAAAGGACUAUAAAUCAUGCUGCUAUAAAGACACAUGCACACGUAUGUUUAUUGCGGCAUUAUUCACAAUAGCAAAGACUUGUAACCAACCCAAAUGUCCAACAAUGAUAGUCUGGAUUAAGAAAAGUGGCACAUAUACACCAUGGAAUACUAUGCAGCCAUAAAAAAUGAUGAGUUCAUGUCCUUUGUAGGGACAUGGAUGAAAUUGGAAAUCAUCAUUCUCAGUAAACUAUCAGAAGAACAAAAAACCAAACACUGCAUAUUCUCACUCAUAGGUGGGAAUUGAACAAUGAGAUCACAUGGACACAGGAAGGGGAAUAUCACACUCUGAGGACUGUUGUGGGGUUGGGGGAGGGGGGAGGGAUAGCAUCGGGAGAUAUACCUAAUGCUAGAUGACGAGUUAGUGGGUGCAGCGCACCAGCAUGGCACAUGUAUACAUAUGUAACUAACCUGCACAAUGUGCACAUGUACCCUAAAACUUAAAGUACAAUAAAAAAAAAAAAAGAAAACCAAAUACUACAUGUUUUCACUUGUAAGUGGGAGCUAAACACGAGUACAUGUGAACCCAAAGGAGAGAACAACAGUUACUGGGGCCUACUGAGGGUGGAAGGUGGGAGAAAAUUAAAGAUAAAAAAAACUAUGUAUCAUCUGGGCGCGGUGGCUCACGCCUGUAAUCCCAGCACUUUGGGAGGCCAAGGCAGGCAGAUCACAAGGUCAAGAGAUCGAGAUCAUCCUGGCCAACAUGGUGAAACCCCAUCUCUACUAAAAAUACAAAAAUUAGCUGGUCAUGGUAGCACACACCUGUACUACCAGCUGCUCGGGAGGCUGAGGCAGGAGAAUCGCUUGAACCUGGGAGGCGGAGGUUGCAGUGAGCCGAGAUCGCACCACUACAUUCCAGCCUGGCAACAAAGUGAGAUUCCAUCUCAAUAACAAAAUAAAACAAAACAAAACAACGACAACAACAAAAACUACCUAUCAGACACUAUGCUUAUUACCUGGGUGACGAAAUAAUCUGUACACCAAACUCCCAUGACAUGCAAUUUACCUAUGUAACAAACCUGCACAUGUAGCCCUGAACUUAAAACAAAAGUUAAAGACAUGAUUUAAACAAAUCAUAUUAUAGAUACUGAUAAAGCUAGUUAAGCAUUAUGCAGCAAAUAAUUAUUACACAAAGGCAAAAAUACAUUGAUUUAAAGUCUUUCUUAUUGACUAAAUAAAUAACAUGACUUUCUUAUUGCAAAUUAUACUUCAAUCACAGAAUUCUACUCCAUUUUAGUUUUCAAUGUUUUAAGAUGAGACAGAAGAGACAAGGAAUUUACAAUAUGAUACACUUGAAUUUAAGGCUUGGCUCUAUCAGUAAAUCUCAUGUGAGAUGGGGCAAGUUUAUUGAACCCUUUCUGUCUCAUUUUCUUUUGGGUAACAUUGGGAUGCUGUGAAUAUUAAGUUGGAAUAAUCAUAUCUAACUUGUCUGGUGCAUGUUAAAAGUGCCACAAAAGUUAGUUCUCUUUUCCAAUUUUUUGUGGCAUUUAUUGGAUACCAGACUAGUGGCAUUUAUUGGAAACUACUUUUGAAGUAUAUACCAUAUAUAUAUAUAUUUUUUUUUUCUCUUCCCUGUAUUCAUUUGUAAAAGCCUUGCUAAUUAUUUUUCAAUUAUACUCUUACAAGUCAAUAGUAGAAAUAGAUUCUUUUCCAUUAAAAAGUAUAUCAAGGAUAGAGAAAAUGAACUAGCAAUUUGGAUGAAGAAAACAGUUCUAAGCCUAAAUUAAACCAAUUGCUGGGCAUACCUGUUUCCUUGAAAGUCUGAGGUAAUUAUGCCGCUUCCUGGUGGUAAAGAACUGAUGAUGUGAUUUUAUUUUGAAUAAUCUUUGAGGGAAAAACCAUACUUUUUCAGCAUUUUCUCAUCUUAUCUAUAUACAAUGGCAACAGAUUUAGGUAACAAGCUCUUUAGGAACUGGUCUUGUAAAGUUAACUCUAAUAAACUAAAUGUCAAUGUGAUAAAAACAAUCCUUACUAAGGAAAAAAAUCUACUUUAUGUCAGUUCUGAAAAAUAUGCUUUGUUGCAACUUGGAGACAUUUUUUUGGUACACUCUUGAGGUCCAUUCACUUAGCUUUUACAUAACACAAUCUCCCAGGGAGAGUUUGGGUGAAAUAACUACAGUAUUUCUCUCAGUAGAGGCUGGCGAUGAAGCACAAGAUAAACUUGUGAUUGUUUUAUUUCAUGAUGAGCACUUUUCUUCAAAAUAUGCAGCUUGCAGAAAUCUGAGGAAAAAGGGCACUUUUCAUCACAUUCAUAGGUGACAAGGAUCCAGGAUCCAAGUUCGACAAUGGGAGGAUGACGGGCUCAUUCCAGCCACAUGACAUAUUACAGAAAAUACUGUAACAACCAUUAUUUAAAUGUCAAAAAUGGACUCGACAGGCACAGGGUAGGUAAGAUGGAUCCUAAACAUAGCAAACACUGGGAGACAACACUCUUUAAUUUUGCUACUCCUCCAGCUAUCGUCCCAAGCCCUUUUGUUGUAUGGCAGAGCUACUGACCUCCGCUCUAACAGU
This 3177-nucleotide long non-coding RNA is filed under the name Homo sapiens (human). RNAcentral describes it as "non-protein coding LINC01725:49". Lineage: Eukaryota; Metazoa; Chordata; Mammalia; Primates; Hominidae. The record is from RNAcentral.